UGGAAACGAUUCUUGUUGGUACCACAUCUUGGUACCCUGACUCUGGGGCUAGCCAUCAUGUCUGUCGGGAGCCAUCGAUUUUACACGACCCCACUCCGUACUUAGGUAUGUCUUCUCUUUUAAUUGGUGAUGGAACUCCUGCUAAGAUUUCAUUGGUUGGCAGUAGUGUUUUACCUGCUCAGUCCAAAUUGUUGUGUUUGUCUAAUGUUUUACGUGUGGCCAAUAUACGAAAGAAUCUUCUGUCAGUAUCACAGUUUACUAAUAAUAAUGAUGUAUUCUUUGAAUUUCAUCCAACUCAUUGUGUUAUUAAGGAUAUCGUGACCCUGGAAGUUUUCCUGACGGGCCACAUUCGUGAAGGACUAUAUCAUUUUCCCUACCUAUGGCCUCUGCUCUGUCAACUGAAGCUCCUAAACCUCCUUUUGUUGCUCAUACGAAGG
RNAcentral lists this long non-coding RNA (437 nucleotides) under Gossypium barbadense (sea-island cotton). Its description in RNAcentral is "long non-coding RNA (GBAR_LNC001266)". Lineage: Eukaryota; Viridiplantae; Streptophyta; Magnoliopsida; Malvales; Malvaceae. The record is from RNAcentral.